This 61-nucleotide transfer RNA is filed under the name Dipodomys ordii (Ord's kangaroo rat). It matches the Rfam family "tRNA", at positions 1 to 61 of the family's 71-position model. Rfam says of the family: Transfer RNA (tRNA) molecules are approximately 80 nucleotides in length. Their secondary structure includes four short double-helical elements and three loops (D, anti-codon, and T loops). The record is from Rfam by way of RNAcentral. Lineage: Eukaryota; Metazoa; Chordata; Mammalia; Rodentia; Heteromyidae.
GGGAAGGUGGCUCAGCGGUAGAGCACUUGCCUUGCAUGCAUGAGGCCAUGGGUCCAUUCCU